Molecule: ribosomal RNA, 278 nt
Filed under: uncultured bacterium
Lineage: Bacteria
Description: partial 16S ribosomal RNA
Rfam family: Bacterial small subunit ribosomal RNA
Source: RNAcentral
UGCCAGCCGCCGCGGUAACACGGGGGGCGCAAGCGUUAUUCGGAAUUAUUGGGCGUAAAGGGCGCGCAGGCGGUUCGUUAAGUCUGAUGUGAAAGGCUACGGCUCAACCGUAGUAAGCUUUUGAAACUGUAGGGCUUGAGUGCAGGAGAGGAGAGUAGAAUUCCUAGUGUAGCGGUGAAAUGCGUAGAUAUUAGGAGGAAUACCAGUUGCGAAGGCGGCUCUCUGGACUGUAACUGACGCUGAGGCACGAAAGCGUGGGGAGCGAACAGGAUUAGAUA